Molecule: ribosomal RNA, 333 nt
Filed under: uncultured eukaryote
Lineage: Eukaryota
Description: partial 18S ribosomal RNA
Rfam family: Eukaryotic small subunit ribosomal RNA
Source: RNAcentral
CCCUUAGAUGUUCUGGGCUGCACGCGCGCUACACUGAUGCACUCAACGAGUUUACGACCUUGUCCGAGAGGAUUGGGUAAUCUUUUUAAAAUGCAUCGUGAUGGGGAUAGAUUAUUGCAAUUAUUAAUCUUCAACGAGGAAUUCCUAGUAAGCGCGAGUCAUCAGCUCGUGCUGAUUACGUCCCUGCCCUUUGUACACACCGCCCGUCGCUACUACCGAUUGAACGGUUUAGUGAGGGCCUCGGAUUGGUCUCGGCCCGCUCUUUACCGGGCGGCGCCGUUGGUCGAGAAGACGCUCGAACUUGAUCGUUUAGAGGAAGUAAAAGUCGUAACA